UACGUAGGGUGCGAGCGUUAAUCGGAAUUACUGGGCGUAAAGCGUGCGCAGGCGGUUUGCCAAGUCAGAUGUGAAAGCCCCGGGCUUAACCUGGGAAUGGCGUUUGAAACUGGCAGGCUAGAGUUUGGCAGAGGGGGGUGGAAUUCCACGUGUAGCAGUGAAAUGCGUAGAGAUGUGGAGGAACACCGAUGGCGAAGGCAGCCCCCUGGGCCAAAACUGACGCUCAUGCACGAAAGCGUGGGGAG
Molecule: ribosomal RNA, 245 nt
Filed under: uncultured bacterium
Lineage: Bacteria
Description: partial 16S ribosomal RNA
Rfam family: Bacterial small subunit ribosomal RNA
Source: RNAcentral